Tripterygium wilfordii is the source of this 740-nucleotide long non-coding RNA. RefSeq lists it as uncharacterized. The transcript is spliced from 3 exons. The record is from RefSeq and is a predicted model, not a curated record. Lineage: Eukaryota; Viridiplantae; Streptophyta; Magnoliopsida; Celastrales; Celastraceae.
AAUAAACCUAAUAAACAAUAUCCUCUCACUAUCUCGUACGAUGCAAAACACCGUCUCUCUCUCUUCUAUUUCUCUCAAUCCUUCUCCGGCGUCAUCGAUCUUCUCCGACCAUCGUCUACCUUCGCUGGAGUUUUGAGGCUGAAGAACAUAGGAUUGGAAGGAGAUAGGUAAUGGUUAGUUAGUUUAAUUUCAUUCAAUUGAUGGUCGAUUGAUUCAUAUGGUAUGUGAAAUAAGUGGGCUGAGUUUGUUUAUUUUAUGUGAAUUAAAUGGGUUCAUAUGAUUUGGUGAUGGGUUGAUGUGUUCUGUUGUUCUCUGAUUUCUUUGUCUUCGGGUUGGUUUCUCUUUUCACUAAGAUGGUGUCUUCUUUGAAAUAACUGAAUUGUUGGGUUUCAAAGGGUGUAAAUCAAGAGAUGGAGAAGCAAGACGAACAUGAGAACAAGAGGAUGAAGCUAAAAGAGAUGAAAGAAGAAAGGGAGCACAAGAGGAUGGAGAUUCAAGAGAGGCAAGAAGAGUUUAACAUAAUGAUGAUGAAUGUGAGUAGCUUAAGUGAAGAUCAAGCUGAGUAUAUUCAAAUCUUAAGGGCGGAAAUACUCAGUAAAAAGAAGAACUUGUAGCUCGGUAGAGUCUUGGAAGUAUUGAAGUAUCUUGGAAGUCUUUGAAGUCUUUGAAAUUUUGGAAGUCUUGGAAAUUUUGGAAGUUUUUGUUGGGACGUUUGUUUACUGUGUUUAUUGGAAGUAUGA